Molecule: ribosomal RNA, 460 nt
Filed under: uncultured bacterium
Lineage: Bacteria
Description: partial 16S ribosomal RNA
Rfam family: Bacterial small subunit ribosomal RNA
Source: RNAcentral
CCUACGGGAGGCAGCAGUGAGGAAUAUUGGUCAAUGGGCGGGAGCCUGAACCAGCCAAGCCGCGUGAGGGAAGAAGGUACAGCGUAUCGUAAACCUCUUUUGUCAGGGAACAAAGGCGGGGACUCGUCCCCGGAUGAGGGUACCUGAAGAAAAAGCAUCGGCUAACUCCGUGCCAGCAGCCGCGGUAAUACGGAGGUGGCAAGCGUUAUCCGGAUUUACUGGGUGUAAAGGGCGUGUAGGCGGGACUGCAAGUCAGAUGUGAAAACCAUGGGCUCAACCCAUGGCCUGCAUUUGAAACUGUAGUUCUUGAGUGUGGGAGAGGCAGGCGGAAUUCGGGGUGUAGCGGUGAAAUGCGUAGAUAUAAGGAGGAACACCAGUGGCGAAGGCGGCCUGCUGGACAAUAACUGACGCUGAGGCGCGAAAGUGUGGGGAGCAAACAGGAUUAGAUACCCGUGUAGUC